This 460-nucleotide ribosomal RNA is filed under the name uncultured bacterium. RNAcentral's name for it is "partial 16S ribosomal RNA". It matches the Rfam family "Bacterial small subunit ribosomal RNA", at positions 338 to 795 of the family's 1533-position model. The record is from RNAcentral.
CCUACGGGGAGCAGCAGUGAGGAAUAUUGGUCAAUGGACGCAAGUCUGAACCAGCCAUGCCGCGUGCAGGAUGAUGGCUCUAUGAGUUGUCAACUGCUUUUGUACGAGGGUAAACCCCGAUACGUGUAUCGUGUUGAAAGUAUCGUACGAAUAAGGAUCGGCUAACUCCGUGCCAGCAGCCGCGGUAAUACGGAGGAUCCGAGCGUUAUCCGGAUUUAUUGGGUUUAAAGGGUGCGUAGGCGGUUUGAUAAUUUAGAGGUGAAAUGUCGGGGCUCAACCCCGAAACUGCCUCUAAUACUGUUGGACUAGAGAAUAGUUGCGGUAGGCGGAAUGUAUGGUGUAGCGGUGAAAUGCUUAGAGAUCAUACAGAACACCGAUUGCGAAGGCAGCUUACCAAACUAUAUCUGACGUUGAGGCACGAAAGCGUGGGUAGCAAACAGGAUUAGAUACCCCAGUAGUC